RNAcentral lists this ribosomal RNA (428 nucleotides) under uncultured bacterium. RNAcentral describes it as "partial 16S ribosomal RNA". It matches the Rfam family "Bacterial small subunit ribosomal RNA", at positions 354 to 796 of the family's 1533-position model. The record is from RNAcentral.
GUGGGGAAUAUUGGGCAAUGGGCGAAAGCCUGACCCAGCAACGCCGCGUGAGGGAAGAAGGCCUUCGGGUUGUAAACCUCUGUCCUUGGUGACGAAACAAAUGACGGUAGCCAAGGAGGAAGCCCCGGCUAACUACGUGCCAGCAGCCGCGGUAAUACGAAGGGUGCAAGCGUUAAUCGGAAUUACUGGGCGUAAAGCGUGCGCAGGCGGUUUUGUAAGACAGGCGUGAAAUCCCCGGGCUCAACCUGGGAAUGGCGCUUGUGACUGCAAAGCUGGAGUGCGGCAGAGGGGGAUGGAAUUCCGCGUGUAGCAGUGAAAUGCGUAGAUAUGCGGAGGAACACCGAUGGCGAAGGCAAUCCCCUGGGCCUGCACUGACGCUCAUGCACGAAAGCGUGGGGAGCAAACAGGAUUAGAAACCCGUGUAGUCC